RNAcentral lists this long non-coding RNA (380 nucleotides) under Mytilus galloprovincialis (Mediterranean mussel). The record is from RNAcentral. Lineage: Eukaryota; Metazoa; Mollusca; Bivalvia; Mytilida; Mytilidae.
GGGGGGGGGGGGGGGCAGGAGGAUUUGUUUUUGAUCGGUUAUUUAUUUUUGUAAACUAAGAGGACAGAUUAAUCAUUUUCUGCACUAUUGAAGCAAGAUUUUUCAUUUUCAUUAAAGCAAGGGACUGAUUAUUCAUUUUCACAACCAUAUUUUUGAUAUUCGAAAACAUACAAUUUUUUAAAUGAUUUGUUUAUUAUAAAUAAUACAUAUAGUAUAGUCAAGUCAUUAUGUACCAUUUAAUUAGAUUAACCAUCCCCCUCUGCAGAAAUGAAUCUUUUAAAUUCCCAACUGCAUUUACAUGUAUUGUAUACAUACAUAGUAUUGAAGUUUAGUUAUAAGUAGGAACUUUUAAAUGUAUUGGCAAACAUACUACGCCGAGC